Phascolarctos cinereus (koala) is the source of this 1330-nucleotide long non-coding RNA. RefSeq lists it as uncharacterized. The record is from RefSeq and is a predicted model, not a curated record. NCBI's taxonomy places the organism in Eukaryota, Metazoa, Chordata, Mammalia, Diprotodontia, Phascolarctidae.
ACCGCCUUCCCAGAGACCCCAGUCUGCCAGCAUCUGUCCACAUCACUUCCUCAACCCCUUCCAGCCAGGAGUUCUGGGAGCAGACAAGAAGGGGUGGUGGUGGUGGAGACUGGGAUUUGGGGGAGUGAAGGCUGAGGAAGUGGCUGGGGAGUAAGGAGGGAAGAGGGAUAGAUAAUUAGUCGGUGUCUAACUGGAAAUCUGCCUUCUUUGUGCCUUGGGGGCAGCUCUGUCUGUGGGCUUGGCUGGAGACAAAUAUUAGCCUGUGUGGUAGAAGGAGUCCCGGACUAAGUCAGCAGACCUGGGUUCAAAAGCUAAUUCACUGUGGGAUCUCAGGCUAUGAUUCCGUUUUCAAAGGCCACUGAGGCACAGGUGGAAUAGCUUCUGCCCUGGGGCAAUGGCUGAGUUGUCUUCCACCAUAAAUGUCAACUCGUGGAGACCCUGGACUCGGGGACUAUGUCCCUUCUCCAUCUGGCUGCAAAACAUCUGGCUGUGCCCAGCCCUUCGAUUCUGCUGACAAAAUCAGUACAGAGACUUAGAUGAUGCAUUUCAGGGCUAGCCCGCCGGGACCCAGGACCUGUCCUUCCCAAGAAGAUGCCCAGGGACAGCAUGGAUGGGGCCACAGUAACCUGAGAAUGAAAAACAGAGGGGAAGAAUCCUGUGGCCAAGAGAAGCCUUUCUUGCUGGCCGCUUGACCCCAAAUAAGCACCCACCCUGUCAAGAUCCUUUGAAAAACACUCAGAUCUUAAUAGUCAAAAUUAAGAUAAUCUAUAGCUUGGAGAGACUUUUGAGAUUAUCCAGCCCUAAUUCCUAAUUUUACAGAUUAGAGAAAUUAAGGCCCUGAGAGAAAAAUGCCUUGGACUCAAAAUCAUAAAGCAAGUAAUUGGUAUAGCCAGUGUACCCAAGUCUUCUACAACCUUUAAUCUAAUCCCCCAGCUGUUGUCCCCUCCUCUCCUCUCAAAUUACCUUGUAUUUACUUUGUCUAUAUUUUGUAUUUACCUCUAAGUGUAUGUGAUGUUUUUCACACAGACCGCAAGGGCUGAUUUUUGUCUUUAUAACCUCUGCACCAGGUACAGUGACUGGCAUACAGUAAGAACUUAAUAAAUUCUCAUCACUUGGAUAAUCCUAACUCCAAAUCUAGUACCACACUGAGUCUUUAUAUUGAAUCAAGUGUUGAUCUAAGUGGCACAGACUCUAAGUAUAAGGCUUCCUGAAGGGAGUGGCACUUAUAUAACCAGAAAAAUCUACCUGCAUCAGGAAGAAGCAAAACCAAAUCAGCCAUAGGACUUUGAUGUUCUCAGUCCCGGAGGAAAAAAAGUCCUGGCUCCAAUCC